Molecule: ribosomal RNA, 484 nt
Filed under: uncultured bacterium
Lineage: Bacteria
Description: partial 16S ribosomal RNA
Rfam family: Bacterial small subunit ribosomal RNA
Source: RNAcentral
AUUGAACGCUGGCGGCAGGCCUAACACAUGCAAGUCGAGCGGAUGAAGGGAGCUUGCUCCUGGAUUCAGCGGCGGACGGGUGAGUAAUGCCUAGGAAUCUGCCUGGUAGUGGGGGAUAACGUCCGGAAACGGACGCUAAUACCGCAUACGUCCUGAGGGAGAAAGUGGGGGAUCUUCGGACCUCACGCUAUCAGAUGAGCCUAGGUCGGAUUAGCUAGUUGGUGGGGUAAAGGCCUACCAAGGCGACGAUCCGUAACUGGUCUGAGAGGAUGAUCGGUCACACUGGAACUGAGACACGGUCCAGACUCCUACGGGAGGCAGCAGUGGGGAAUAUUGGACAAUGGGCGAAAGCCUGAUCCAGCCAUGCCGCGUGUGUGAAGAAGGUCUUCGGAUUGUAAGGCACUUUAAGUUGGGAGGAAGGGCAGUAAGUUAAUACCUUGCUGUUUUGACGUUACCAACAGAAUAAGCACCGGCUAACUUCGUG